GAUUAGAAUGAAAAUGAGAUGGUAAAUCAGUUUGCUUCAUGGGGAUUUAAACAGCAUUCUGAGGAAGGGAUAAGCCACAGGAUAAAAGGAACUACAGCUACCCCUCCACACUGCACUGUUUGCAGAUCUCUGGCCUGUUAUUAAAGAGAGACAACGAAACUUCUAUCCCAUUUAAGCCACUGCUUUUGGACUUCUAUAUCCAAGCAGCUUAGCUUGUAUCCUCAAUGAGCCACAGUCUCCAUUAUGAUGAUACACAGUGGUGUGGAUAGCCUCUCAGAUGGUCCCCAAUGAUCCUGCCUCGUGGUAUAUGUACCUUUGUAUAAUCCCAUUCUCUUGAAUGUGGGUUUGUCUGGUGACUCUCUUCUACCAACAGAUUGUGGCAAAGAUGGAUGAUGGGAUGUCACUUCACUGAUUAAGUGCCAAAAGGUUGCAAUCUCCUCUUGCUAACAGACUCUCUGCCUUGCUGGCUUUGAUGAUGCAAUUUGCCAUGUUGGAGCUGCCUAUGUGGCAUGAAACUGAAGCAGGCCUCCAGCCAACAGCCAGCAAGAAACUGAGACCCUCAGUCCAACAGUCCACAGGGAUCUCAAUCUUGCCAACCACCAUGUGAGCCUGGAAAUAGAUCCUUGCCCAGUUGAACCUUAAGAUCACUACAUCGCAGCUGACACCUUGACUGCAAGUCUGUAAGAGACCCUGAAGUGCAGGAACUUGCUAAGCCUGCCCAGACUCUUGACCCACGGAAACUGUGAGACAAUACAUGUGGGUUGUUUUAAGUUUGGGGGUGGAUAGGGGACCAGCCAGGUACACAGUGCAAGGAGAGCAACAGUAGA
This 827-nucleotide long non-coding RNA is filed under the name Homo sapiens (human). RNAcentral describes it as "HSALNT0298360". Lineage: Eukaryota; Metazoa; Chordata; Mammalia; Primates; Hominidae. The record is from RNAcentral.